Molecule: long non-coding RNA, 903 nt
Organism: Hipposideros armiger (great roundleaf bat)
Lineage: Eukaryota; Metazoa; Chordata; Mammalia; Chiroptera; Hipposideridae
Exons: 4
Source: RefSeq, a predicted model, not a curated record
AAUCAGAAGUUCUCACAUUGGAAAGAUCACAUCGGCUGGGGCAUGGAGAACAGACUGGAAGCAGAAAGACCUGAAGUUGGUAGACACAUGAAGAGCUGAUCCUGCACUGGGGAGCUGGCGUUGGGAAGGCAGAGAAGUGGACGCAAGACAGAUUUAGGAGUGCCUCCUGGGAUAAGGACUUUGUCUCCUUGGAAGCGGGGAUGGUGCUUCAGUCUCCUCCAGUCGCCUGCCUGACAUCCUGAGCCUGGGAGCUCCUGCUGUCUUUCCCCCUUCGCCUCACUCAGAGGUGAACAGCAGCAUCUCCGCUGAAGCUCCGGGUGCUGAAGUGCAUCACUGAAACGCUGCACAAUCUCAGUUUGCAAAGAGGAGACCCAGCUCGACUUGAACAUCACUGCACACAGGUCUUCCUGCAGGGGCCCAGACAAGGGCCAGGAGUCCACAGCCUGCUUAUGCCCAGCUGGAGCCAGCUGCCCCAGGCGAGUGCUGAAAUAGCUCUGCUUCUGCCCAAAGGAGCUCAGAGGAUGUGUUCCUGGUGGUCUUUGGCUGAAGGGCAUCAACAAAAUUGGAGAUUCCACCAAGAUUCAUCUGAGACCCUUAUUGCCUUGGACCAGGACCCUCACUCAACUCAGUAAUAGUGUACACACAUCUUUUUUUUUUUUUGAGGGGGGCAGAUCCUGUUUUUUCCCAAGCUCCCCAGGUAAUUAUAAUGUGCAACCUGGGUUUUGAGGGACUGGGUGACAAGUCACUUCAGGAGGCCUUAGUGGGGUCAGAAGGGCAAUGUCUGUACAGCGCUGAGCUCAGGCCUUGCACAUGAUCCUCAGGUACAAUGAGCUAUCACUUUUUAUCGCUUUUUCUUUUAUUUGCUCUGUGCCUUAUUCAUUGUGCUGUCCCUCUCAAUAAAUG